AGUAAUGUCACAAGAAUCCACCCAAAACAAAGCAAAUAUAUGAAUGUAGUCAAAUAGGAAAUGACACAACGCAUAUUUUCAUCAAAUGCAACAUAAAUGGACAUAAUUACUCCAAUGUGUGACGUACAAAUUGGCAAAUAUGAUAUCGUAAUUCGAUUUAUGGGAGAAUGUUCAUCAAAUACACCGUAUUUAGAUUACUGCAAAGGACCUAACUUUAAUCAUUUCACUCAUGGAAAACAAAAUAUUCCCUAUCAGAAGUCUAAUCUUUAAGUAAAGCAUGUAUUAUAAAUUAUAUUGACUUGAGCAUAAAGCACCACAGGGUCACGACUAGAAAUAAGACCGGCAGAGCUUCCCACUGAACAUCUCUCCAAACCACAUAUCCAACCUCUUUCGCCCUGCAAUUCAUCAGUUCAUUCAUCUUCAACUCUUAUUUUGAUUUCAUGUGUAUUUUCCAGCAAUGAAUAAACCAAUAUUAAACAUUAUACAUAACCAACAUUUCAAAAUUUCCACUUCUCCCAUUAUGACGUACACUAACCUAAGCCGCACAGACAGUGGAAACGUUGCAUUGAAAAUUAUAAUUUAUUUCACAAAUUCAAUAGUUAAUUUCAAAUUUAGCAUCCAUUCAGACUAAUCACUUGUUAAAUUUUUAUAUCAUCUGGAUUAAAAGUUUCGUGCAACUUGGACAAUAAAAUUCCCGGAGAGGACAAGAACUCGCCUAGUGAUCAGGCACGUGACCUCUACACAAUUUACGUAGCGUAGAAUCAGCCUUCUCUACGGCGUGCGCAUUGAUUUCCGUUGUGCAGGAAGAUCCGAGAGAGUGCUACGCCUGUGCCUUGUAGAGGAGGGCCAGGAAAGACGAUGCAGGUGCGUCGCAGCCGAACUCGCCAUGGAAGGUGGAGCUCACAAUUCUGAGCUGCGAACUGUGAACUCUGAGAGGGAAAGAGAGGUCAAAUUACGUGUGUACCCUUCUCCCAAAUUCUCCCCAGAUUUUGGAUAAAUUUCGCCAGGGGUCCUCAACCUUUCGCAAUUGUGGCAUAAUAUCCUCAAUCUCUCAUUUGUUACUAUUGGCUUUUCCAAAAUAUAUACGAGCGCAAAGCCUUCGUGCAGCCAACCUUAAAUUUAUUAAGACCCUGUUUCCAUGGCUUAUUGGACUUGGAAUAAAUUAGUGGGUUUUGAUUUUCACCAAUUAAAAAGGAAGAAAAGUCAACAAAAAUAGCAUAAUUUAUAUUUGACCAAGUUAACGAAAAGAAUAGUAAUAAUCAGUGGUGGAUGCAGAUAUUUUGAAUUGAUGGGACACAAUCAAACUUACAAAA
This 1313-nucleotide long non-coding RNA is filed under the name Olea europaea (common olive). Its description in RNAcentral is "long non-coding RNA (OEUR_LNC012660)". The record is from RNAcentral. Lineage: Eukaryota; Viridiplantae; Streptophyta; Magnoliopsida; Lamiales; Oleaceae.